UACAUGGGGUGCAAACGUUGCUCGGAAUCAUUGGGCGUAAAGCGCGCGUAGGCGGCCCGGUAAGUCCGCUGUGAAAGUCAAAGGCUCAACCUUUGAAUGUCAGCGGAUACUGCCGGGCUAGAGUCCGGAAGAGGCGAGUGGAACUCCUGGUGUAGCGGUGGAAUGCGCAGAUAUCAGGAAGAACACCAACGGCGAAGGCAGCUCGCUGGGACGGAACUGACGCUAAGGCGCGAAAGCGUGGGGAGCGAACAGG
This 253-nucleotide ribosomal RNA is filed under the name uncultured bacterium. RNAcentral describes it as "partial 16S ribosomal RNA". It matches the Rfam family "Bacterial small subunit ribosomal RNA", at positions 524 to 776 of the family's 1533-position model. The record is from RNAcentral.